Molecule: long non-coding RNA, 520 nt
Filed under: Lepisosteus oculatus (spotted gar)
Lineage: Eukaryota; Metazoa; Chordata; Actinopteri; Semionotiformes; Lepisosteidae
Description: lncRNA (ENSLOCG00000021293.1)
Source: RNAcentral
AUUGGCAGCAAGAAAGUAUUACAAGUAGGAAUUGCCUCACAGAAUCCAGAAAUGAUCAAGGAAAUGGCCUGCUGUGUGGCUAAAGAAACUAUUGAAAAAGUCUCCAAAGGGCUUUUCUCCAACAGUCCAAAGUGUUUUUGAAAACAGUUUCCAGCCAGAAGACACUAUGGAUAAGCCCUGCUCAUCACAUUCCCUAGGAGAAGCUGUUGGUGUGACACCUUGUUCUAAUAAGAAAAAAGGUUGCUCUGCUUCUGAGACCCCAGAGAAGCCUGGAGGUUAUUUGGCUCAAAGAGUCCAGGAUGUAGAAGGAGUACAGCAGUGUAAGGCUUCAGGGAAGACAGUUAAGAAGACUAAAAAGAGCUCCUUGAGGCCAGACUGUAUGAAAACACGACUUCUGGAGUCCUCUUCGCAUGAUGUGGUUGAUGAGGAGUUGCCCGGACACUCAUCUUGGUAUGUGUACAAUCCCAGCCUUAAUAAGGACAAAAAUCUCAGUCCAGCCCAAAGCAAGAGUGGUCUGCGC